Molecule: ribosomal RNA, 557 nt
Filed under: Pediculus humanus (human louse)
Lineage: Eukaryota; Metazoa; Arthropoda; Insecta; Psocodea; Pediculidae
Description: partial 12S ribosomal RNA
Source: RNAcentral
UAAAGUCAAAUUAAUUGGUUAAAGCUAAUAAAUAACUACUAUUAAGUACAACAACUCUACUUAUUAUUGUAAGAGUAAAAUCUUUAUAAAUAAGAUAGGAAUGUGUUAAUGUAACAUUAAUUCUCUUACGAGGCGCUAGCAUAAAGACUAGGAUUAGAUACCCUAUUAUGGGCGUGAGUAUGAAAGUUUAUUAAGUUAAUAGCCUUAAUUAAAGCAAAACCUAUUUACUAUGGCGGCUGUUAGUCUCACCAGAGUCGUAUGUCCUUAAACGAAACUGCGCGAUCAUCUUACCUUUUAACUUUUGCUAAUAUAAAAUAAUUACAUUAUAGCAAUCUGGCACGUCGCUGUACUAAAAGUGAAGAUUUUAAAUAACUCAUCUUCUAAUUACUUAUUAGCAUUUAUUAAUAACGUACAAGUCAAGACGCCGUUUUAAGAGGCUUAAGAUGUACGAUUUAAUUGAUUUGAUAGAAUUUAUAAGAAUGAAAACUUUCUUUAUUAAAAUAAUUUGGAAGUAAAAUAGGGUUAUUAUUCUUAUUUGAAAUGAGCUACUAAUAAGU